This 407-nucleotide ribosomal RNA is filed under the name uncultured microorganism. RNAcentral's name for it is "bacterial SSU rRNA". It matches the Rfam family "Bacterial small subunit ribosomal RNA", at positions 509 to 917 of the family's 1533-position model. The record is from RNAcentral.
CAGCCGCCGCGGUAAUACGUAGGGGGCGAGCGUUACCCGGAUUCACUGGGCGUAAAGGGGGUGUAGGCGGCUCGGUAAGUCGGGUGUGAAAUCCCACGGCUCAACCGUGGAAUUGCGCCCGAAACUGCCGAGCUUGGGGCCGGUAGAGGGAGACGGAACUGCCGGUGUAGGGGUGAAAUCCGUAGAUAUCGGCAGGAACGCCGGUGGGGAAGCCGGCCUCCUGGGCCGCGCCCGACGCUGAGGCCCGAAAGCUAGGGGAGCAAACCGGAUUAGAUACCCGGGUAGUCCUAGCCGUAAACGAUGCCCACUAGGUGUGGGGGAGUAGUUCCUCCGUGCUGUAGCUAACGCGUUAAGUGGGCCGCCUGGGGAGUACGCCCGCAAGGGUGAAACUUAAAGGAAUUGGCGGG